UAUUAUUUUUGCCUGUAAAUAGUUUUUGAGUUUUGAUUUGAUAUUCUGAACUUAAAUAUCAAAAUAUAAACAGAAAAAUGACUUAAAAGAAAUAAGAGGAAAAUAGAUAGUUAUGUUGGUAAUAAUGUGGAAGAGGGUUGUUUUCUAUCUGAUGGUCAAAAUUAAUCCUGGGUAUUCCUUAUUUUUUUCGAUGUAUAUACUUAUAGUACAUGAGACUAGAUUGGAGACAUCCCUAGAUUGGAAUGGUCUGGAUUCCCAAAAUUAUAGUAAUAAUUUUUCCAUAUCCUAUAUUUUGCUGAUUCUUACUAUGAAACAAAUACGUAAUUUAAUACCUUAAGCUUUGAUAUAAUAUAUAACAAAAAUACUGAACUUUUGCAUCCUAAUAUUUUUAGUUUAUGUGCUCUAUGUAUGUAUCCAUUAUAUUUAUUUAAUAAAUCUCAUCGAAUUAUUGGCAUCCUAACCGUUGUAUUGUAAACCCUGAAACGGUUGACCUCAAAUACUUCGCUUUAUUUUUUGAUGCCAUUCAGUGAUCAGUUUUGUUCUUAUUCCAUAAAUAAAAUAUUUUAUCAAAAAUAAUAAUAAUAAUGAAAUUUCAAAAAAAAUUGUUCGAUUUUUACAUUUUACUCUGAUUUUUAGUCCAA
RNAcentral lists this long non-coding RNA (641 nucleotides) under Androctonus crassicauda. The record is from RNAcentral. Lineage: Eukaryota; Metazoa; Arthropoda; Arachnida; Scorpiones; Buthidae.